Molecule: ribosomal RNA, 777 nt
Filed under: uncultured bacterium
Lineage: Bacteria
Description: bacterial SSU rRNA
Rfam family: Bacterial small subunit ribosomal RNA
Source: RNAcentral
GUGAAGCAAGUCGUCGGAUCGUAAACCCUCUUCUUAGAGAAGAAAGUGCGUGAGAGUAACUGUUCACGUUUCGACUGGUAUCUAANCAGACAGGCACGGCUAANUNCGUGCCAGCAGCCGCGAUAAUACGUAGGUGGCAAGCGUUAUCCGGAUUUAUUGGGCGUAAAGGGAGCGCAGGCGGUCUGUUAAGUCUGAUGUGAAAGGCUUCGGCUUAACCGGAGUAGUGCAUUGGAAACUGGGAGACUUGAGUGCAGAAGAGGAGAGUGGAACUCCAUGUGUAGCGGUGAAAUGCGUAGAUAUAUGGAAGAACACCAGUGGCGAAAGCGGCUCUCUGGUCUGUAACUGACGCUGAGGUUCGAAAGCGUGGGUAGCAAACAGGAUUAGAUACCCUGGUAGUCCACCCCGUAAACGAUGAAUGCUAAGUGUUGGAGGGUUUCCGCCCUUCAGUGCUGCAGCUAACGCAAUAAGCAUUCCGCCUGGGGAGUACGACCGCAAGGUUGAAACUCAAAGGAAUUGACGGGGGCCCGCACAAGCGGUGGAGCAUGUGGUUUAAUUCGAAGCAACGCGAAGAACCUUACCAGGUCUUGACAUCUUCUGACAAUCCUAGAGAUAGGACUUUCCCUUCGGGGACAGAAUGACAGGUGGUGCAUGGUUGUCGUCAGCUCGUCUCGUGAGAUGUUGGGUUAAGUCCCGCAACGAGCGCAACCCUUAUUGUUAGUUGCCAGCAUUAAGUUGGGUACUCUAGCAAGACUGCCGGUGACAAACCGGAGGAAGGCG